RNAcentral lists this ribosomal RNA (540 nucleotides) under uncultured bacterium. Its description in RNAcentral is "bacterial SSU rRNA". It matches the Rfam family "Bacterial small subunit ribosomal RNA", at positions 960 to 1501 of the family's 1533-position model. The record is from RNAcentral.
CGCGAGAACCUUAACCAGGCCUUGCAUGCUGAGAACCUGCCAGAGAUGGCGGGGUGCUUCGGGACUCAGACACAGGUGCUGCAUGGCUGUCGUCAGCUCGUGUCGUGAGAUGUUGGGUUGAGUCCCGUGACGAGCGCAACCCUUGUCCUUAGUUCCAGCACGCUAUGGUGGGCACUCUAAGGAGACUGCCGGUGACAGAACCGGAGGAAGGUGGGGAUGACGUCAAAUCAUCAUGCCCCUUAUGCCUGGGCUACACACGUGCUACAAUGGAUGGUACAAAGGGCUGCCAAACCGCGAGGUUGAGCGAAUCCCAUAAAACCAUUCUCAGUUCGGAUUGCAGGCUGCAACUCGCCUGCAUGAAGCUGGAAUCGCUAGUAAUCGCGGAUCAGGCGAUGCCGCGGUGAAUACGUUCCCGGGCCUUGUACACACCGCCCGUCACACCGCGAAAGUCUGUCACGCCCGAAGCCGGUGCGCUAACCGCAAGGAAGCAGCCGUCGAAGGCAGGGCCGAUGAUUGGGGUGAAGUCGUAACAAGGUAACC